GGUCCCUUCGUCUAGUGGUUAGGACUCCAGGUUCUCAUCCUGGCAACACGGGUUCGACUCCCGUAGGGAUCACCA
This 75-nucleotide transfer RNA is filed under the name Candidatus Saccharimonadota bacterium. Its description in RNAcentral is "tRNA-Glu". It matches the Rfam family "tRNA". Rfam says of the family: Transfer RNA (tRNA) molecules are approximately 80 nucleotides in length. Lineage: Bacteria; Candidatus Saccharimonadota. The record is from RNAcentral.